This 72-nucleotide transfer RNA is filed under the name Bos taurus (domestic cattle). It matches the Rfam family "tRNA". From Rfam's summary of the family: Transfer RNA (tRNA) molecules are approximately 80 nucleotides in length. RNAcentral also lists the same sequence under 3 other names. The record is from Rfam by way of RNAcentral. Lineage: Eukaryota; Metazoa; Chordata; Mammalia; Artiodactyla; Bovidae.
UCCCUUGUGGCUCAGCUGGUAAAGAAUCUGCCUGCAAUGCAGAAGACCUGGGCUUGAUCCCUGGCUUGGGAA